AUCCAUACAAAGUGUACAUUAAAAUGCUUCGCAGUGCAGCAAUUUGGAAGCCGCUUGCUCAAAAGAUCAAAGGAUGGGAUCCUAUAUGGGGCACGGUCUUCUUCUCAUGCUUAUUCACAUCCCCCUGGCUGUUAGGAAGAGGCAGGUCACGGUGCACUAUUAUCAGCUGGCGUCCUUUAUAUCAGAUUACAACUAUUCAGUUUCUGGCCAACAGGGCAUUAACACUGCUGUUAGUGGGGGCCACGCACAUGAGCUGACAAAUGCUCCUCAAGUCUGUCGUCUGAAUUCAGGCUGGAUGGAAGCUACACGAGGAGUUUCAAUGGUUUUGUACUCGGUGGUCAGGCACAGGACGAUGUGCAGUGUUUGCAUUGAUCCCUACACUCCCAGAGCACGUGCAAGAUGUUAG
This 406-nucleotide long non-coding RNA is filed under the name Anas platyrhynchos platyrhynchos (common mallard). RNAcentral describes it as "lncRNA (ENSAPLG00000017953.1)". Lineage: Eukaryota; Metazoa; Chordata; Aves; Anseriformes; Anatidae. The record is from RNAcentral.